UGGCAACUCUGCCAAGGCGCCUAUGAGAGCCUCUUGGCUUUUACCUGGUCUGCGAGAAAUCAAACUUUGGACACAAGUCAUGAAGCCGACAAGCCCGGGAGACACAGUGUCAGAAUUACAAGGUGAGAUCAGCCGCCCGGCCAAGCUAUCUUCUCGCUAGCAGAUGAAGCUGCUUUGGUGGAAGGUGCUAAAAAGCUGGGCUUUGUACAGUGAGAACACCAUAUUCAGUCAUCAUAGAAGCAAUAGAGCUUUGGAGCCAAACCCUUCUGAUGAUCCAAGGGCAAGCACAAUCUUCUUGCAAAAAUCUCAAACAUAUGGUAUCUACUAAGCAUUUUACUAAAAAGUACAGCUCGUGUUCAACCAUAUACCUAGAUGACAGCACAGCCAGCCAGCCUCAUCUUACAAUCAUAGUAAAAUCGAAUGAGCUUGAAAGACAGUUUUUGCAGCUAACUGACUAUAACGUCGAAGUUUCUGGAAGUGUUUAUGCCAAGUACUAUUUUGAUCUUCGAUCCUUGGCAAAGGACAAUAGCUUGCAUUUGCCAGUUUAUCUUCUCAACAAAGAAAGGGCACAGAACCUGGAAGCUAUUUCAAGGAUGGAAGACGCCAAAAUCUUUUAUAGUGCUACCAUGAGAAGGUCCUUCAGCGCUGAUAAUUUCAUUAAUCUUCAGCGCUCUAAAGCCAUUAUCUCUUGAAGGAAGAAAUGAGGGGCUAUAUCAUGUGAACCCCUCAUCAAAAAAGACCGGAAAAUAUUACCUCUCCUGCUCAACAACUAGAAAAGUUAGUAUUUUCAAAAGAAGAAAGAUCUCAAAGUUGAGAGGCUUGUGGACAACUAGGAUUGCACUCCACAGGAAAAAAAUGGGAUCUUUGCAGUGCAACAACUCUCGUACACUCUUCUGUCUUUUUAAACGUAAACAGGUAUAAAAACUACUCCAAA
Molecule: small RNA, 934 nt
Filed under: Pan troglodytes (chimpanzee)
Lineage: Eukaryota; Metazoa; Chordata; Mammalia; Primates; Hominidae
Description: processed transcript
Source: RNAcentral